RNAcentral lists this transfer RNA (73 nucleotides) under Camelus bactrianus (Bactrian camel). It matches the Rfam family "tRNA". Rfam says of the family: Transfer RNA (tRNA) molecules are approximately 80 nucleotides in length. Their secondary structure includes four short double-helical elements and three loops (D, anti-codon, and T loops). Further hydrogen bonds mediate the characteristic L-shaped molecular structure. tRNAs have two regions of fundamental functional importance: the anti-codon, which is responsible for specific mRNA codon recognition, and the 3' end, to which the tRNAs corresponding amino acid is attached (by aminoacyl-tRNA synthetases). tRNAs cope with the degeneracy of the genetic code in two manners: having more than one tRNA (with a specific anti-codon) for a particular amino acid; and 'wobble' base-pairing, i.e. permitting non-standard base-pairing at the 3rd anti-codon position. Lineage: Eukaryota; Metazoa; Chordata; Mammalia; Artiodactyla; Camelidae. RNAcentral also lists the same sequence under 2 other names. The record is from Rfam by way of RNAcentral.
GAGGGUAUAGCUCAAGCAGUAGAGUGCAUGCUUGGUAUGCAUGAGGUCCUGGGUUCAAUCCCCAGAACCCCCU